UUGCACGCUGGCGGCAUGCUUUACCCAUGCACGUCGAACGGUAACAGGCCGCAAGGUGCUGACGAGUGGCGAACGGGUGAGUAAUGCAUCGGAACGUGCCCAGUCGUGGGGGAUAACUACUCGAAAGAGUAGCUAAUACCGCAUACGAUCUAUGGAUGAAAGCGGGGGACCGUAAGGCCUCGCGCGAUUGGAGCGGCCGAUGUCAGAUUAGGUAGUUGGUGGGGUAAAGGCUCACCAAGCCAACGAUCUGUAGCUGGUCUGAGAGGACGACCAGCCACACUGGGACUGAGACACGGCCCAGACUCCUACGGGAGGCAGCAGUGGGGAAUUUUGGACAAUGGGCGCAAGCCUGAUCCAGCAAUGCCGCGUGCAGGAAGAAGGCCUUCGGGUUGUAAACUGCUUUUGUACGGAACGAAACGGCUCUGGUUAAUACCCGGGGCUAAUGACGGUACCGUAAGAAUAAGCACCGGCUAACUACGUG
RNAcentral lists this ribosomal RNA (481 nucleotides) under uncultured bacterium. RNAcentral describes it as "partial 16S ribosomal RNA". It matches the Rfam family "Bacterial small subunit ribosomal RNA", at positions 30 to 507 of the family's 1533-position model. The record is from RNAcentral.